This is a non-coding RNA of Xylaria sp. CBS 124048, 104 nucleotides long. Lineage: Eukaryota; Fungi; Ascomycota; Sordariomycetes; Xylariales; Xylariaceae. The record is from the annotation of a GenBank genome assembly.
UCUCGAUUGGUCUAGUGGCUAGGAUACCUGCUUGUCAUCCGGAUGAUGAAUAGUCAUCUCUUGGCAAGGCGCAGGUGGCCGGGGUUCGAUUCCCCGAUCGAGAG